This 253-nucleotide ribosomal RNA is filed under the name uncultured bacterium. RNAcentral's name for it is "partial 16S ribosomal RNA". It matches the Rfam family "Bacterial small subunit ribosomal RNA", at positions 524 to 776 of the family's 1533-position model. The record is from RNAcentral.
UACGUAGGGUGCAAGCGUUGUCCGGAAUUAUUGGGCGUAAAGAGCUCGUAGGCGGUUUGUCGCGUCUGCUGUGAAAACUCGGGGCUUAACUCCGGGCCUGCAGUGGGUACGGGCAGACUAGAGUGCGGUAGGGGAGACUGGAAUUCCUGGUGUAGCGGUGAAAUGCGCAGAUAUCAGGAGGAACACCGGUGGCGAAGGCGGGUCUCUAGUACGGUACUGACGCUGAGACGCGAAAGCGUGGGGAGCGAACAGG